ACGUCGCGUGAGGGAUAGCAGUGGAAAUCCUUUUGCGGCCGAGCGCUAGCGAGGCCGUAAAAGAUUGCAACGAAUAGCCCGACGGCGG
This 88-nucleotide small RNA is filed under the name Flavobacterium caeni. RNAcentral describes it as "Flavo-1 RNA". It matches the Rfam family "Flavo-1 RNA". Lineage: Bacteria; Pseudomonadati; Bacteroidota; Flavobacteriia; Flavobacteriales; Flavobacteriaceae. The record is from Rfam by way of RNAcentral.